CCUAUAAUCGUUUUAAUCGAUGGGGGGACGCAGUAGGAUAGGCGAAGCGUGCGAUUGGAUUGCACGUCUAAGCAGUAAGGCUGAGUAUUAGGCAAAUCCGGUACUCGUUAAGGCUGAGCUGUGAUGGGGAGAAGACAUUGUGUCUUCGAGUCGUUGAUUUCACACUGCCGAGAAAAGCCUCUAGAUAGAAAAUAGGUGCCCGUACCGCAAACCGACACAGGUAGUCAAGAUGAGAAUUCUAAGGUGAGCGAGCGAACUCUCGUUAAGGAACUCGGCAAAAUGACCCCGUAACUUCGGGAGAAGGGGUGCUCUUUAGGGUUAACGCCCAGAAGAGCCGCAGUGAAUAGGCCCAAGCGACUGUUUAUCAAAAACACAGGUCUCUGCUAAACCGUAAGGUGAUGUAUAGGGGCUGACGCCUGCCCGGUGCUGGAAGGUUAAGAGGAGUGGUUAGCUUCUGCGAAGCUACGAAUCGAAGCCCCAGUAAACGGCGGCCGUAACUAUAACGGUCCUAAGGUAGCGAAAUUCCUUGUCGGGUAAGUUCCGACCCGCACGAAAGGCGUAACGAUUUGGGCACUGUCUCAACGAGAGACUCGGUGAAAUCAUAGUACCUGUGAAGAUGCAGGUUACCCGCGACAGGACGGAAAGACCCCGUGGAGCUUUACUGUAGCCUGAUAUUGAAAUUCGGCACAGCUUGUACAGGAUAGGUAGGAGCCUUUGAAACGUGAGCGCUAGCUUACGUGGAGGCGCUGGUGGGAUACUACCCUAGCUGUGUUGGCUUUCUAACCCGCACCACUUAUCGUGGUGGGAGACAGUGUCAGGCGGGCAGUUUGACUGGGGCGGUCGCCUCCUAAAAGGUAACGGAGGCGCUCAAAGGUUCCCUCAGAAUGGUUGGAAAUCAUUCAUAGAGUGUAAAGGCAUAAGGGAGCUUGACUGCGAGACCUACAAGUCGAGCAGGGUCGAAAGACGGACUUAGUGAUCCGGUGGUUCCGCAUGGAAGGGCCAUCGCUCAACGGAUAAAAGCUACCCCGGGGAUAACAGGCUUAUCUCCCCCAAGAGUUCACAUCGACGGGGAGGUUUGGCACCUCGAUGUCGGCUCAUCGCAUCCUGGGGCUGUAGUCGGUCCCAAGGGUUGGGCUGUUCGCCCAUUAAAGCGGUACGCGAGCUGGGUUCAGAACGUCGUGAGACAGUUCGGUCCCUAUCCGUCGUGGGCGUAGGAAAUUUGAGAGGAGCUGUCCUUAGUACGAGAGGACCGGGAUGGACAUACCUCUGGUGUACCAGUUGUCGUGCCAACGGCAUAGCUGGGUAGCUAUGUGUGGACGGGAUAAGUGCUGAAAGCAUCUAAGCAU
RNAcentral lists this ribosomal RNA (1346 nucleotides) under Staphylococcus aureus. Its description in RNAcentral is "partial 23S ribosomal RNA". It matches the Rfam family "Bacterial large subunit ribosomal RNA", at positions 1447 to 2788 of the family's 2925-position model. Lineage: Bacteria; Bacillati; Bacillota; Bacilli; Caryophanales; Staphylococcaceae. The record is from RNAcentral.